Molecule: ribosomal RNA, 802 nt
Filed under: uncultured bacterium
Lineage: Bacteria
Description: bacterial SSU rRNA
Rfam family: Bacterial small subunit ribosomal RNA
Source: RNAcentral
AAUGCGUAGAGAUNAGGAAGAACACCAGUGGCGAAGGCGAUUNUCUGGACCGUAACUGACGNUGAGGCACGAAAGCGUGGGUAGCAAACAGGAUUAGAUACCNUGGUAGUCCACGCCGNNAACGAUGAGUACUAGGUGUAGGAGGUAUCGACCCCUUCUGUGCCGCAGUAAACACAAUAAGUACUCCGCCUGGGAAGUACGAUCGCAAGAUUAAAACUCAAAGGAAUUGACGGGGGCCCGCACAAGCAGCGGAGCAUGUGGUUUAAUUCGAAGCAACGCGAAGAACCUUACCUGGACUUGACAUACCCUGAAUAUCUUAGAGAUAAGAGAAGCCCUUCGGGGCAGGGAUACAGGUGGUGCAUGGUUGUCGUCAGCUCGUGUCGUGAGAUGUUAGGUUAAGUCCUGCAACGAGCGCAACCCCUGUUGUUAGUUGCUAACAUUUAGUUGAGCACUCUAGCAAGACUGCCGCGGUUAACGCGGAGGAAGGUGGGGAUGACGUCAAAUCAUCAUGCCCCUUAUGUCCAGGGCAACACACGUGCUACAAUGGGCAGUACAGAGAGAAGCAAGACCGCAAGGUGGAGCAAACCUCAAAAACUGCCCCCAGUUCGGAUUGCAGGCUGAAACUCGCCUACAUGAAGUUGGAGUUGCUAGUAAUCGCGAAUCAGAAUGUCGCGGUGAAUACGUUCCCGGGCCUUGUACACACCGCCCGUCACACCAUGAGAGCUGGCAACACCCGAAGUCCGUAGUCUAACUUAGGAGGACGCGGCCGAAGGUGGGGUUAGUAAUCGGGGUGAAGUCGUAA